CAAAAUAAAUAGUGAUGAAAGAUAACAUAAGGUACAAAAACUCUACUGAGUAUGGAAACUGAAAGGUGCAAAGAACACUGGAGUUGAGAAAGAAAAAAAAUAUUUAGAAAGGUAUUAUCCACUGAAAGGUUCAACGUUAGUAACUCAGAAUUAAUCAAACUGUAGAAAGGAUUUGUUGGUUAUGUAAAAUGAUUUUUGAUGAUGUUCCUUACUUACAACAUAAAAUAACGGCUGCUAAUUGCUAGUAUUAUGUCAUUGAAAGUAAUUCGAUACGUGGAAAUAAGGUGCUCAUGAAGGUGGAGGAAGGCGAAGACUUCAAGGAACUGAUUAAAGAUGCAUAUUUACAAGGCAAACAUGGUUAGUACAACUCAUGAUAGAUAUUGAUGUAGAUUUUCUAUUACUAAUGACUAAGAUUAUUAUGAUUAGGAUUACCAAAUACUGAAAAUAGUUAGAUGAAUAUGUUGCACCAUAUUUACAAUUAUGUAGUACUAGAUUUCUUUCCCCCCAAUCUUUAAUAAUUAUAUACAGCUUUAGAGAUGUUUAUAGGUCUGCAACCGAUUGUUCUGGUUGGGGAAUUUAUUCAUAUAUUAUUAGAUACAAAUAUUUGAAGAGUGCAAUUUAGUAAAAAACAAAUCUAGUACUACAUAAUUGUAAACAAAUAUGCAUCGAACUGAUUUCUGAUUUCAGGCUUUGGUAAUCCUAAUCAUAAUAGUCCUAAAUAUUAUAAUUAAUAAUAGUAAAUAUACUUCAGUAUCUAUCAUUUCACUAUCAUUGUUUUUAAAAUUUAUCAUGUGGCCUAUCAUCAUUAUAAACCAUUAAGUAUAAACUAAAAUGUAAAAACUAAAACCUAACAAUCAGUGUUCACCUUAGGAUUGAAAAUUGACUUUGAUUUUGUAAAACUAAUUCUAAUUAAAAAAAAAACUAAAACAGCCAUAUAUCAUUAUAAACAUUUAUUUUGAAAAUAAGUUGAUGAAAAAUUUAAUGAAAAAUUGGAAACCCCGUAUAAAAGAAGUGCAUCAAGAAAAUCAUUAAGAAUCAGAGACAGGCAGACAGCAAAGCAUAAUAACCAGGAACAUGUUUAAUUUGAUAUAUUCUCCUUGUCUUGGCGUUGGUACCUGAUGAAUAGUACAUUUGGAAUUGCCCUGUGAACAGACCAACGCAUACUGAGAUAAAAACUAAUAGUGUGAGCUUCAGAUUCGACCUGAGUCAGUACCGGGAAAAAAUAGGAAACAAAACACACAUGAAGGCAUG
This 1251-nucleotide long non-coding RNA is filed under the name Cicer arietinum (chickpea). RNAcentral's name for it is "long non-coding RNA (CARI_LNC003239)". The record is from RNAcentral. Lineage: Eukaryota; Viridiplantae; Streptophyta; Magnoliopsida; Fabales; Fabaceae.